CCUACGGGAGGCUGCAGUGGGGAAUAUUGCACAAUGGGGGAAACCCUGAUGCAGCGACGCCGCGUGAGUGUAGAUGCAAUUUGGUAUGUAAAGCUCUAUCAGCAGGGAAGAAAAUUACGGUACCUGAGUAAGACGCGCCUGCCAACUACGUGCCGGUAGCCGCGGUAAUACGUAGGGGGCAAGCGUUAUCCGGAUUUACUGGGUGCAAGGGGAGCGUAGACGGCAGUGCAAGUCUGGAGUGAAAGGCUGGGGCUCAACCCCCGGAGUGCUCUGGAAACUGUACGGCUGGAGUGCAGGUGAGGUAAGUGGAAUUCCUGGUGUAGCGGUGAAAUGCGUAGAUAUUAGAAGGAACACCAGUGGCGAAGGCAGCUUACGAAACUGUAACUGACGUUGAGGCUCGAAAGCGUGGGGAGCAAACAGGAUUAGAUACCCCGGUAGUC
RNAcentral lists this ribosomal RNA (440 nucleotides) under uncultured bacterium. RNAcentral describes it as "partial 16S ribosomal RNA". It matches the Rfam family "Bacterial small subunit ribosomal RNA", at positions 338 to 795 of the family's 1533-position model. The record is from RNAcentral.